This 65-nucleotide transfer RNA is filed under the name Simias concolor (Simakobou). RNAcentral describes it as "tRNA-Arg". It matches the Rfam family "tRNA". Rfam says of the family: Transfer RNA (tRNA) molecules are approximately 80 nucleotides in length. Their secondary structure includes four short double-helical elements and three loops (D, anti-codon, and T loops). Further hydrogen bonds mediate the characteristic L-shaped molecular structure. tRNAs have two regions of fundamental functional importance: the anti-codon, which is responsible for specific mRNA codon recognition, and the 3' end, to which the tRNAs corresponding amino acid is attached (by aminoacyl-tRNA synthetases). tRNAs cope with the degeneracy of the genetic code in two manners: having more than one tRNA (with a specific anti-codon) for a particular amino acid; and 'wobble' base-pairing, i.e. permitting non-standard base-pairing at the 3rd anti-codon position. The record is from RNAcentral. Lineage: Eukaryota; Metazoa; Chordata; Mammalia; Primates; Cercopithecidae.
UGGUGAGUAGUUUAAGUAAAACAAAUGAUUUCGACUCAUUAGAUUAUGAUAAUCAUACUGACCAA